Long non-coding RNA from Mytilus trossulus (common blue mussel), 482 nucleotides. RefSeq lists it as uncharacterized. The record is from RefSeq and is a predicted model, not a curated record. The transcript has 3 exons. Lineage: Eukaryota; Metazoa; Mollusca; Bivalvia; Mytilida; Mytilidae.
AGGUCAAAUUGAAGAUGUUGGAAAUAUUUACUUUUUUAUAUUAAAUUUUAUGUUAUUCUGUUCGAUGUGCAUAAUUAUAUCAAAUAUAUGUAUAUAUAAUAUUCAUACACAAUACAUAUAAUAACAAAGAACAAACAGAGAACCACAAAAUGAAGUGCCUUGUAUUUAUUAGCGUUUUUGUGAUAGUUUUAUGUUGUAUAAAUGGACAAUGGAGAGAAGGUGGAAGGGGUGGUGGUCCUGGACAACCCGGUGAACCUGGAAGACCUGGUGAACCCGGGCGACCUGGAGAACCUGGAUGGGACUUUGGAGGAGGAUGUCCGGGAGAACCUGGUACCCCUGGAGGUCAAGGAGGCACAGGAGGGAGAGGAGGAAGAGGUUGUUAAAAAGGAACUAUAGGUGCUCAAACUAGACGGUUAUAAAAAUAUGGAAAUAUGAACCAGAACGACACAUCAGAAUUUAAAAAUAAAAUAUUUAAAAAACAA